This 62-nucleotide transfer RNA is filed under the name Phyllidia elegans. RNAcentral describes it as "tRNA-Tyr". Lineage: Eukaryota; Metazoa; Mollusca; Gastropoda; Nudibranchia; Phyllidiidae. The record is from RNAcentral.
AUUUUGGUGGCUGAAAAAGGCAAUAAAUUGUAAAUUUAUCUAUGACAUAUAUACGUCCCUUA